GAUGAAGAACGUAGCGAAAUGCGAUAAGUAAUGUGAAUUGCAGAAUUCAGUGAAUCAUCGAAUCUUUGAACGCACAUUGCGCCCGUCAGUAUUCUGGCGGGCAUGCCUGUUCGAGCGUCAUUACGCCCCUCAAGUCCCCUGUGGACUUGGUGUUGGGGAUCGGCGAGGCUGGUUUUCCAGCACAGCCGUCCCUUCAAUUAAUUGGCGGUCUCGCCGUGGCCCUCCUCUGCGCAGUAGUAAAACACUCGCAACAGGAGCCCGGCGCGGUCCACUGCCGUAAAACCCCCCAACUUUUUAUAGUUGACCUCGAAUCAGGUAGGACUACCCGCUGAACUUAAGCAUAUCAAAAGCGGAGGA
This 357-nucleotide unclassified non-coding RNA is filed under the name soil metagenome. RNAcentral describes it as "partial contains 5.8S ribosomal RNA, internal transcribed spacer 2, and large subunit ribosomal RNA". The stretch from base 1 to 120 matches the Rfam family "5.8S ribosomal RNA", at positions 35 to 154 of the family's 154-position model. The record is from RNAcentral.